AUGUCGUGGAAUGUUAGAGGACUUAAUGUGCCGGCUAGACGAUCUGCGGUUAGAGAGGUGGCGUAGGCAAACAAGAUCUCAAUCCUAAACCUACAAGAAACUAAAAUAGAGGCUUGGACUUCUGAAAUGGCUUGCGACGUUGGGGGAAAUCUUCUGCAGGGCUGCGUGGUGCUUCCGGCAGCGGGCACAAGAGGGGGCGCGGCAAUCUUCUGGGACAAGCAGAUUGUCGACAUCACGGAUCAGAUCAUCGCUAGUUUCUCCAUCACUGCCAAGGUGCGGAUCAUCAACACCGGCCACUCGUUUUGGAUGACUACA
Molecule: ribosomal RNA, 315 nt
Filed under: Triticum aestivum (bread wheat)
Lineage: Eukaryota; Viridiplantae; Streptophyta; Magnoliopsida; Poales; Poaceae
Description: partial small subunit ribosomal RNA
Source: RNAcentral